RNAcentral lists this small RNA (855 nucleotides) under Pan troglodytes (chimpanzee). Its description in RNAcentral is "retained intron". The record is from RNAcentral. Lineage: Eukaryota; Metazoa; Chordata; Mammalia; Primates; Hominidae.
ACGACGAGUUCAAGCCUCCGUGGGUGCAGUUGGUCGCCAGGUAGGGCUGGGGGCCGAGGGACCGGCUCGGGGGCGGGGGGGAAGUGUGCCUGACCGGUCUCUGUCCUCAGCGAGGGAUGCGGAGACGCCCCUGAACGACCAUGGCAUCGGCCGACGAGCUGACCUUCCAUGAAUUCGAGGAGGCCACUAAUCUUCUGGCUGAGACCCCAGAUGCAGCCACCACCAGCAGAAGCGAUCAGCUGACCCCACAAGGGCACGUGGCUGUGGCCGUGGGCUCAGGUGGCAGCUAUGGAGCCGAGGAUGAGGUGGAGGAGGAGAGUGACAAGGCCGCGCUCCUGCAGGAGAAGCAGCAGCGGCAGCAGCCCGGAUUCUGGACCUUCAGCUACUAUCAGAGCUUCUUUGACGUGGACACCUCACAGGUCCUGGACCGGAUCAAAGGCUCACUGCUGCCCCGGCCUGGCCACAACUUUGUGCGGCACCAUCUGCGGAAUCGGCCGGAUCUGUAUGGCCCCUUCUGGAUCUGUGCCACGUUGGCCUUCGUCCUGGCCGUCACUGGCAACCUGACGCUGGUGCUGGCCCAGAGGAGGGACCCCUCCAUCCACUACAGCCCCCAGUUCCACAAGGGUAAGCAGACGGGCAGGCCCAAUGCCUGGCAGGGCCCUGGGGUACAGGGGGUGACUGCUCACCUUGCCCCCAGUGACCGUGGCAGGCAUCAGCAUCUACUGCUAUGCGUGGCUGGUGCCCCUGGCCCUGUGGGGCUUCCUGCGGUGGCGCAAGGGUGUCCAGGAGCGCAUGGGGCCCUACACCUUCCUGGAGACUGUGUGCAUCUACGGCUACUCCCUCUUUGUCUUCAUC